ACUAUUUUGGCAGAGAAAUGUAGUGAUUUUAGAAGUCAUAAAUGUAUAAUUAUAUUAUAUAGAUAGUA
This 68-nucleotide transfer RNA is filed under the name Tagiades tethys. RNAcentral's name for it is "Daimio tethys tRNA-Leu". The record is from RNAcentral. Lineage: Eukaryota; Metazoa; Arthropoda; Insecta; Lepidoptera; Hesperiidae.